UCGAGACCGAAACUAUAUCGAGCGAUUCGGAGAACCCGUGAAAUAAGCGGCGGCGGCAGUCGCCGCGAAACAGCCGUCCCCGCCGUCGCCCCCCCCCUCGUCUGGAGGGGGCCGCGACGGGGCACGGCUGAAACCCCAAACCGGCGCAGAUUGGCGCCAAGGUAACUAUCGAAAAGCACGAGCCCGGCAUCGGGUCUUCGUGGGGCGGAGCGGUGUUAGCGCACCGCACGUAUUGACACGACUCUCGACAAUGGAUAUCUCGGCUCUCGCAUCGAUGAAGAGCGCAGCGAAAUGCGAUACGUGGUGCGAAUUGCAGAAUCCCGCGAACCAUCGAGUCUUUGAACGCAAGUUGCGCCCGAGGCCAAUCGGUCGAGGGCACGUCCGCCUGGGCGUCAACCGCCGCGUCGCUCCGUGCCAAGUCCCCACCGUUCCCACCGCAGUGGGGGUGCCGGGCGAGGCUCGGAUGUGCAGAGUGGCCCGUCGUGCCCACCGGUGCGGCGGGCUGAAGAGCGGGUUAUCUUCUCAUUGGCCACGAACAACGAGGGGUGGAUGAAAGCUGCCGCGGGCGAGGCCCGCGUUGUCUCGUGCCGGCCCGAGUGAAGAUUACACCCUCCGUGCGAUCCCAUCCCACGCGCCGCCCCCGUGCGGCGGCUUGGAAUGCACCCCAGGAUGGGCGAGACCACCCGCCGAGUUU
RNAcentral lists this ribosomal RNA (694 nucleotides) under Holcoglossum omeiense. RNAcentral's name for it is "eukaryotic LSU rRNA". The stretch from base 240 to 395 matches the Rfam family "5.8S ribosomal RNA". Lineage: Eukaryota; Viridiplantae; Streptophyta; Magnoliopsida; Asparagales; Orchidaceae. The record is from RNAcentral.